UGUGGGAGCGAGAUAGGGACUUACUGUGAUUUUUAUCAAAUGCCUUUUUUCGAUUUUAACCAAAACGAAAAAUGUAUUGACAAGUCAGUCUUUUUCUCUCUCCUAUA
This 107-nucleotide microRNA precursor is filed under the name Lucilia cuprina (Australian sheep blowfly). RNAcentral describes it as "microRNA mir-14". It matches the Rfam family "mir-14 microRNA precursor family". The record is from Rfam by way of RNAcentral. Lineage: Eukaryota; Metazoa; Arthropoda; Insecta; Diptera; Calliphoridae.